RNAcentral lists this long non-coding RNA (221 nucleotides) under Homo sapiens (human). RNAcentral describes it as "non-protein coding lnc-ASPHD1-2:1". Lineage: Eukaryota; Metazoa; Chordata; Mammalia; Primates; Hominidae. The record is from RNAcentral.
GUCUUGCUCUGUUGCCCAGGCUGGAGCACAGUGGUGCAAUCAUAGCUCACUGCAACCUCUGGGGUUCAAGUGGGGUUCAAGUGAUCCUCCCACCUCAACCUUCCAUGUAGCUGGGACUAGAGGUGUGUGCCACCACACCUGGAUAAUUAUUACUUUUUUUUAAUUUGUAGACACAGGAUCUCACUAUGUUGCUCAGACUGGUUCUCAAACUCCUGGCCUCA